Molecule: long non-coding RNA, 378 nt
Filed under: Homo sapiens (human)
Lineage: Eukaryota; Metazoa; Chordata; Mammalia; Primates; Hominidae
Description: LNC_000178
Source: RNAcentral
CCAGCCCACUCACCCGCACUAGCUGGCCGCUGGGGCAGGCCAGGAGACACACUGUUCCUCUGUAGUGCUGGCUGCUGGGGGGACAGGAGCCGCGGGUCCGUGAGGGAUGAUGUCACCAGGGAAGGGGUGACCAGGGAGCCGCUGGGAUUGCUGAACUGCAGUGAGCUCUGAUUGGACACGGGCACCGUGACAGGCAUGGCAAAGUUGGGGGCCGGGACAGUUGACCCAUAGCGCCGGAAGAGCCCGUCGAGCUCCUCGCUGGCGCGUCGGUACUUGUCCUCCAGCAGGGGGCUCUGUUCCAGCGAGUCCUCCCCGUCGGGCUCGGGGCUGUCGCAGCCGUUGAAGCCCUUCUUCCUCAGGGUCUCGAUGAUGUCGGCG